Molecule: transfer RNA, 92 nt
Filed under: Saccharomyces cerevisiae UFMG A-905
Lineage: Eukaryota; Fungi; Ascomycota; Saccharomycetes; Saccharomycetales; Saccharomycetaceae
Description: tRNA-Ser (AGA) (tRNA-Ser-AGA-4-1)
Rfam family: tRNA (bases 6-76)
About the family: Transfer RNA (tRNA) molecules are approximately 80 nucleotides in length. Their secondary structure includes four short double-helical elements and three loops (D, anti-codon, and T loops).
Source: RNAcentral
GGCAACUUGGCCGAGUGGUUAAGGCGAAAGAUUAGAAAUCUUUUGGGCUUUGCCCGCGCAGGUUCGAGUCCUGCAGNGUAUUAUUUGGGCCC